AUUAGAAAGAAAAUUAUUUCUCCCCCUCCUCCUCUUCCUUUUCCUCCUUCUUCUUUUUGAUCUUACUUGAAGAAUUUAUUGUAUAAAAAGACAAAGGGACAAAGUGGGUAGUAUAUUGAUUGUCCUGGUGAAGCAAAAUGAAAGUUUCCAGACCUUGAGAUCAUUAAACACAUGUGGUUAAAAGAAAAAUCUUGAGAAGGCACCCUGGCAGUUAAGGUUCUAGAUAACACACUCACAUAUCAGAUUAAUCCUCCAAGCUUCGGUAGUUAAUAAAGGAGGAUUUAUUGCAAUGCAAUCCUGGUUUCUUUUCUAUGAAAUUUAUGACCUUCCCAUGUAGUGCCAAGAGCACCUGAAGGCUAUGUCAUGAAAAAAAUCCCAGCCACUGGGCCAAGAGAAAGCACAGGUGUGAAGAGCAGGGCUGACAGCAGGGGAUUAGAAUAAUCAUAUACCUGUUACAAGCAGACCCUAUCUGCUGUCAUCACCGCGGUAUAUGUUCUGGGGAAAAUAUAAUACACAUGUGCUUAUGUCACUCUUCCUUAAUAUCAAAACCUCAUGGUGGACUGAAUCUGCAGGCAGAUCUGUGGUUUCCCGAGCCUGGAAUAAGAAAUAAAAUGGAAGGAUCCAUACAUUUGACACUGAAUCAAAACCUUCCACAUUGUCAAUCAAAACCAGGACAAGGCCUUAGUCGAACUUAGACCACUCGGGAGGGUUUUAAAAAGCAUAGAGGGUCUCUUUUCACAUGUGGCUUGUGUAAAGUCCAUGGUGAUGGUAGAUCAAUUGAAUUAAGGAACAAAAAUUAGGAUAUGCCAGUGGUUCAGAUGUGAAUCGGGGCUUUUCAUGUCACUUCUCCACAUGGGUUACCAAUGUUUGUCGUCCAUUUGUGGAUUGAAAGGGAAUAAAAUGCCCUCAUUGAUUAAAAUGUUUUAUAGUAUUGGAGAAAUAUUUAGGACAUUCCAAAAACAUGUUGGAAAAGAUCUAAAAAGUAAACUCUUUCAUAGUCCAAAGACGUUGGCAUUUCUAUUGUUUUCUUGAACUCUAAUAUUUUUGAAAAUACCUUAGGACCUUUAAC
Molecule: long non-coding RNA, 1069 nt
Filed under: Marmota monax (woodchuck)
Lineage: Eukaryota; Metazoa; Chordata; Mammalia; Rodentia; Sciuridae
Source: RNAcentral